GAUGAACGCUGGCGGCGUGCUUAACACAUGCAAGUCGAACGAUGAAGCCCAGCCUGCUGGGCGGAUUAGUGGCGAACGGGUGAGUAACACGUGAGUAACCUGCCCUUGACUCUGGGAUAAGCCCGGGAAACUGGGUCUAAUACCGGAUAGGAGCGCCUGUCGCAUGACGGGUGCUGGAAAGAUUUUUCGGUCAUGGAUGGACUCGCGGCCUAUCAGCUUGUUGGUGAGGUAACGGCUCACCAAGGCGACGACGGGUAGCCGGCCUGAGAGGGUGACCGGCCACACUGGGACUGAGACACGGCCCAGACUCCUACGGGAGGCAGCAGUGGGGAAUAUUGCACAAUGGGCGGAAGCCUGAUGCAGCGACGCCGCGUGAGGGAUGACGGCCUUCGGGUUGUAAACCUCUUUCAGUAGGGAAGAAGCGAAAGUGACGUACCUGCAG
This 442-nucleotide ribosomal RNA is filed under the name Micrococcus luteus. Its description in RNAcentral is "bacterial SSU rRNA". It matches the Rfam family "Bacterial small subunit ribosomal RNA", at positions 28 to 484 of the family's 1533-position model. Lineage: Bacteria; Bacillati; Actinomycetota; Actinomycetes; Micrococcales; Micrococcaceae. The record is from RNAcentral.